GAUGAACGCUAGCGGGAGGCCUAACACAUGCAAGCCGAGCGGGAUUUGUUGGUUAGCUUGCUAACUAACAAUGAGAGCGGCGUACGGGUGCGUAGCACGUGUGCAACCUGCCUUUAUCUGGGGGAUAGCCUUUCGAAAGGAAGAUUAAUACCCCAUAACAUAUUGAUUGGCAUCAGUUAAUAUUGAAAGCUCCGGCGGAUAGAGAUGGGCACGCGUAAGAUUAGCUAGUUGGUGAGGUAACGGCUCACCAAGGCUGCGAUCUUUAGGGGGCCUGAGAGGGGGAUCCCCCACACUGGUACUGAGACACGGACCAGACUCCUACGGGAGGCAGCAGUGAGGAAUAUUGGACAAUGGGUGAGAGCCUGAUCCAGCCAUCCCGCGUGAAGGACUAAGGACCUAUGGUUUGUAAACUUCUUUUAGACAGGGAUAAACCUACUCUCGUGAGGGUAGCUGAAGGUACUGUAUGAAUAAGCACCGGCUAACUCCGUG
This 489-nucleotide ribosomal RNA is filed under the name uncultured bacterium. RNAcentral describes it as "partial 16S ribosomal RNA". It matches the Rfam family "Bacterial small subunit ribosomal RNA", at positions 28 to 507 of the family's 1533-position model. The record is from RNAcentral.